GGACUUCACCUCUUCUACCUGGGUAACCGUGCAAAGGCACCAUGAGUUGUUCGGUUUUGGAUCGUCAAUCCUGUCUUUGGCGGUGAUCACCGCUGCGUGAUCAAGAAACCUGUUUCAAAGGAUUUUGCAACUUUGAGUAAGUGUUAUCUUUUUCAUCCAGUUCUUUUAUUGGUUUUGGAGUUUAGAUAGGCAAGUUAAUUCUAGUUUGCGUUUGGGUUGGGGGGGUGUUGAUUCCUUGCAUUUUUUUUUUCUUUUGUUGUUCUGGCUUAUUCAGCUCCUGCAAGCAUGCAAUUGUGCAAAUACUCCUAGAAAGUUGAUACUUGCAUCCAUAUCCGCCGUAUGUAUCUACAUUUGUGUCCCUGCCACGUGAAUAUGUGCAAAUAUCUUUUUUGAAUAGACACCGAAAGUAGGGACUGCCAACGCAAGCAAAUACCGACUUUGCAGGGGUAUUAGUGCAAGUUGGCAUAUUUUCAGGCGUAUAUGCAAAAAAACCCUGGAUUGGCCAAACAGGGCAGAUCAUGCCACAGUUAAAAGCAAUAUUUAAAAGCAAUGAACAUGAUAAAAGUGGAAAAAAGAGUUGUCGUAGGUGUGAAAAUCUAGAGGAUAACAUAGCAAUAACGCAUGUAAUUACCUGAAUCCUUUAGUGUGAAGUAUCUUCCUAGCACCAUGAGUAGUUGUAGUUGUUCCAUGAACCUCGAAUAGCCCAUCGUCAUGCAAUGGGAUCUCAACCGUCGAUUUCCUCCAUGCGGCCACCACCACUUGGAAAAACCUUGAGAUCGGGUUCCCGCUGGCCUUAAACCUCCUAUACCUCAUGGUUCCACUCAAGAACAUUAAGAAAGCAGUCCCUGCACUAGCAGUAGACACCCAAAAUCCUAAUGACCAAUCACCCAAAUUUUGUAUAUAUGCCAAUACAGUUUCUGAUAUUAAUGAUCCCAGGUUUGUGGCAACAUAGAAAUAGCUGUAGAAUGACUGAUUUGAGGAGUUCUCUUGUGAGUUUUGUUCAUCAAAUUGGUCGGAGCCGAAAGUGGCAAGGGAGGGUUCAUAUGCACCAUUGCCUAAGGCUAUUAAAUAAAUGGAAAGGUAGAACAUGGUAAUUUCAAAAGGGGAGUGGGAAUCGCAUAGAAAUCCUAGCUUGCCACAGCCAUGUGGUUUGAGUAGUAGAAAGGAAGUUGUCAUUGAAAGCAUUGCCAAGCCCUGUACAAAGUAGUUAAAGGGAUCAAAUCUCUAUAAGUGAUAUCAUUGUAUUCACAGAAAUAGAAAGUCUUUAAUAGCCUCUGCAUUUUCACAACAAUUACAAAAAUAUAUUUGGAGUCAAUUCUAGUUUCAUGGUGGAUUUUCGUUGCGAUCACGUUGUGUCAUAUUUAUGUUUUAGCUGCAUAUAUAAAGAUGAUCAACAUGAUGCAUUUGAGAGUUUUUUGCAGUGAUUUGUCUCAUAUAACCUACUUCAAACAUUAUCAAAUAAUAGAGGGAUAGAAGUUGUUUACAAUAGCAAAGACAAAUUGGAAGAUGACGCAUGUAGUGUAUCGACCCAAGUAUGCAUCACUCAGAAAAGCACCCAUUAGAGAGAAGAGAUGGACCGUCCCCAUCCACCUACUGAAGGUGUUGGCUGCCUCCGCAUUGGUUUGAUUUAGAACCCGUGUUGCAAAGAGCACCAGGUUCACUUCAACGCCAACAAAGGCUAGAGUAGCGAGUCCAUGAUUCACUGUCAACAAAGAUGCUGCAAAUUAGAGGGAGUUAUUAUGAUGCUUUGAAAGGAGGACACCGGUGGGGGUGUUUUGGUGGGGUGAAGAGGAAAGAGUUACUAUGAAGAUAUGAAAACCAAGAACUUUUAUGAGCAAGGACAUCCCAUUACAGGAAGAACUAGCAACUGAAAUUAAAUGAUUGACCAAUCAAAAUCAGUGAUGGUAAAAGCAGUAGUGAUAAUAAGGCACAUAAACAUUACCCAAAUUGAGAAUAGCCAAGAAAAUGAAAGAAAUAUACAUAGCAAAAGUAACGCUGGCGGCCAACCGCCUUUCUUGUUCCUUAUCUCAGGCUUGUAAUCUCCAUCAAUGGGCUCAUCCUUGAUAUAUCCCUCAGCUACUAUGGUGCUUUCCUGCGUAUAGGAGAAUGACUAGAUGAAAAAUAUAAAUAGAUUAACAAAUGUUACAGAGAAACAGGCAUGUUGGCAAGUGCUGUUUGUAUCUACAUCAUCAGAUGAAACAUUCAGGCAAGGAUGCAUACAUAUUAGGCUGUUUUUCAAACUACAAUAAGAUCAUAGUAUUUUCUUAAAUCAUACCUGUUCCAAACCUUGCUAAUUCAUCAGACUUGCCUAGUCUUAAGAAUAAUAAUUUUCUUCCAUUCACAAAAGAAAUUUUCUUCGAUAGUUAGAUCAUUUGGAAAGAAAAUAUAGUACUAUUUUAUUACAUUUUAUGAUUAUUUCUUACCUUAUUGCUUUUAAGAACCAUCGUGGUUAAACAAGUGCUUAACUUCUCGAGACAGCCAUGUGAGUGCUUAUUGGGAGGGGUAUGUGUGUGUGUCCUUGAGAGAGAGAGAGAGAGCCAUUUAAGUGCUUGUAGGAAGGAGUGCGUGCGUGUGCGCGUGCGCGAUCGACUUUUCCAACUUGUUUCAAGGGGGGGUUGUGUGUGUGUGUGCACAUGAAAGAGAGAGAGGUGCCAUAUGUUGUAUAUAAAGAGAGACAGGGGUCAUAGUAAUAAAUGUUGAAGGUGAGAAAGUAAUCUAGCAUUAAAGGAGUAAAUGACCACUAUAUCAAUGCUUAAGGGAUUUCCUUUUUGUCUUUUGUAUGUCAAAACUGAUGAAGUCAUAGCACGGUAUCAAACUAAAUAUAAGUAUAUCUAGGAAAAUAUAUAUAUAAAGUAUAUCUAGUAAUUCAUUAAUAGCUAUGGUGAAUGAAUGUGCUUAUUUAUCAUUGCAUAUUCAAGUUUUGAACAUAAAAGAUGCUGCUAUUUGGGGCAUAUUGGGCAUGACAAAUGCUGUUUAUGGUGUGCAAUUGCAUGAACAGUAAGCAUUAUAAUCAAAUAAUAAGGGAUAAACUCAACUUCAAUCUGAAAAGGAAAACGGAAAAAUGUAAAUACACCAUUCAUUCUGACUAUUCGUGUUUAAUAUAUCCUUUUUGUUUCUAUAAGAUGCUUUAUGAGCAAUGGAGAACACUGAAUACCGCAACAAAUUAUGCUUUCCUCUAUUUCAUUUCAUGAUUUCUUUUCUUCUUGUGUACUAACAGUUAAAUCAAGAAUUUUACUUUUCAGAACUUAAAAUGAGUAAAACCAUCACCACCGGCAUGAUACCGUAAAAUUUGUGAGCUCAUAACAAAUUUGUGCAUGUUAUUCAGGUCAUUCACAAUGCAUACUCUUCAGUGCUUUCAUCUACUUACAAUUCUUUAUUGCCAACUUAUGCAUUUUAUAGAGAUUACAGAACUGACUCGAGCACAAGCGAUUAAUUGUGUUCUUGUUUGGUAUAUUGCAGGAAAUUUCACAAGUUGAAAAGUGUAAAUUUCAACUACCUCAGAAAUCAUGUUCGCGAGCUCGGAAAGGAUAUUCUCAGAAGUUUUGUACAGUCCUUCUCAAAUGCGCAUCACUGUUCUAAAGGUAUGAUGUAGUCUAAUUUCGGUCCAAAUGCUUUUACUACAAUUACCUGUAUGGAGUAGAUCUUCUUAAUGGUGCUUCAUGAAUGCCACUUCACUGUCAAAAUAAUGGCACAUUAGAUCAUAGAACUUAUCAACAUACAAGGACUAGCAUAAUAGUGCCAACACUGGAGACAGAUUCGGACCUAUUAGGAUAUUUAGAUAUGUUUUUUUAAGGGCAUAUUUUAUAUGAGAAUUAUAAGUAUAAGUAUGUUAUCUCUUAUCUGUUUGUAAUAUUAUUUUGUCACUUUUACUCUUUCAAAGCCAAUGUGGAGCUACGAGUUCGGGUCCUAACCCAACAAGGCCUCGAAUAACACACAAUAUGGCUCUGGCCCAAUUUACUUGGAGUGAGCCCGGCCGAAAUAACCCAAAAUUGUGUUCUAUUACUUGUAGCAACAAGCCCUAAUGGGCUUAGAUAAGUUGAGCC
Molecule: long non-coding RNA, 4043 nt
Filed under: Ananas comosus (pineapple)
Lineage: Eukaryota; Viridiplantae; Streptophyta; Magnoliopsida; Poales; Bromeliaceae
Description: long non-coding RNA (ACOM_LNC004685)
Source: RNAcentral